RNAcentral lists this ribosomal RNA (1346 nucleotides) under uncultured bacterium. RNAcentral describes it as "partial 16S ribosomal RNA". It matches the Rfam family "Bacterial small subunit ribosomal RNA", at positions 28 to 1381 of the family's 1533-position model. The record is from RNAcentral.
GUCGAACGCUGGCGGCGUGCUUAACACAUGCAAGUCGAACGGAAAGGCCCUGCUUUUGUGGGGUGCUCGAGUGGCGAACGGGUGAGUAACACGUGAGUAACCUGCCCUUGACUUUGGGAUAACUUCAGGAAACUGGGGCUAAUACCGGAUAGGAGCUCCUGCUGCAUGGUGGGGGUUGGAAAGUUUCGGCGGUUGGGGAUGGACUCGCGGCUUAUCAGCUUGUUGGUGGGGUAGUGGCUUACCAAGGCUUUGACGGGUAGCCGGCCUGAGAGGGUGACCGGCCACAUUGGGACUGAGAUACGGCCCAGACUCCUACGGGAGGCAGCAGUGGGGAAUAUUGCACAAUGGGCGGAAGCCUGAUGCAGCAACGCCGCGUGCGGGAUGAUGGCCUUCGGGUUGUAAACCGCUUUCGCCUGUGACGAAGCGUGAGUGACGGUAAUGGGUAAAGAAGCACCGGCUAACUACGUGCCAGCAGCCGCGGUGAUACGUAGGGUGCGAGCGUUGUCCGGAUUUAUUGGGCGUAAAGGGCUCGUAGGUGGUUGAUCGCGUCGGAAGUGUAAUCUUGGGGCUUAACCCUGAGCGUGCUUUCGAUACGGGUUGACUUGAGGAAGGUAGGGGAGAAUGGAAUUCCUGGUGGAGCGGUGGAAUGCGCAGAUAUCAGGAGGAACACCAGUGGCGAAGGCGGUUCUCUGGGCCUUUCCUGACGCUGAGGAGCGAAAGCGUGGGGAGCGAACAGGCUUAGAUACCCUGGUAGUCCACGCUGUAAACGGUGGGUACUAGGUGUGGGGUCCAUUCCACGGGUUCCGUGCCGUAGCUAACGCUUUAAGUACCCCGCCUGGGGAGUACGGCCGCAAGGCUAAAACUCAAAGGAAUUGACGGGGCCCCGCACAAGCGGCGGAGCAUGCGGAUUAAUUCGAUGCAACGCGUAGAACCUUACCUGGGUUUGACAUGGAUCGGGAGUGCUCAGAGAUGGGUGUGCCUCUUUUGGGGUCGGUUCACAGGUGGUGCAUGGCUGUCGUCAGCUCGUGUCGUGAGAUGUUGGGUUAAGUCCCGCAACGAGCGCAACCCUUGUUCACUGUUGCCAGCACGUUAUGGUGGGGACUCAGUGGAGACCGCCGGGGUCAACUCGGAGGAAGGUGGGGAUGACGUCAAGUCAUCAUGCCCCUUAUGUCCAGGGCUUCACGCAUGCUACAAUGGCUGGUACAGAGAGUGGCGAGCCUGUGAGGGUGAGCGAAUCUCGGAAAGCCGGUCUCAGUUCGGAUUGGGGUCUGCAACUCGACCUCAUGAAGUCGGAGUCGCUAGUAAUCGCAGAUCAGCAACGCUGCGGUGAAUACGUUCCCGGGGCU